AGUGAACGCUGGCGGUAGGCCUAACACAUGCAAGUCGAACGGCAGCACAGUAAGAGCUUGCUCUUACGGGUGGCGAGUGGCGGACGGGUGAGGAAUACAUCGGAAUCUACUUUUUCGUGGGGGAUAACGUAGGGAAACUUACGCUAAUACCGCAUACGACCUACGGGUGAAAGCAGGGGAUCUUCGGACCUUGCGCGAUUGAAUGAGCCGAUGUCGGAUUAGCUAGUUGGCGGGGUAAAGGCCCACCAAGGCGACGAUCCGUAGCUGGUCUGAGAGGAUGAUCAGCCACACUGGAACUGAGACACGGUCCAGACUACUACGGGAGGCAGUAGUGGGGAAUAUUGGACAAUGGGCGCAAGCCUGAUCCAGCCAUACCGCGUGGGUGAAGAAGGCCUUCGGGUUGUAAAGCCCUUUUGUUGGGAAAGAAAAGCAGCAGGUUAAUACCCCGCUGUUCUGACGGUACCCAAAGAAUAAGCACCGGCUAACUUCGUG
This 492-nucleotide ribosomal RNA is filed under the name uncultured bacterium. RNAcentral's name for it is "partial 16S ribosomal RNA". It matches the Rfam family "Bacterial small subunit ribosomal RNA", at positions 29 to 507 of the family's 1533-position model. The record is from RNAcentral.